AUGUACCACGUGUACAUCCGGACUCUGAGCGCCCUGUCCACACCCGCCUGGCCGCUACUGGCUGCGGUUUGUUGGCC
Molecule: small RNA, 77 nt
Filed under: Xanthomonas axonopodis pv. vasculorum
Lineage: Bacteria; Pseudomonadati; Pseudomonadota; Gammaproteobacteria; Lysobacterales; Lysobacteraceae
Description: sX9
Source: RNAcentral